This is a long non-coding RNA of Carassius auratus (goldfish), 773 nucleotides long. RefSeq lists it as uncharacterized. The transcript is spliced from 7 exons. Lineage: Eukaryota; Metazoa; Chordata; Actinopteri; Cypriniformes; Cyprinidae. The record is from RefSeq and is a predicted model, not a curated record.
AGAAGAAGCGUCCCUUCCGACUUUUCCAUUUUCUCGCCUUUUUGUAACAUCAUGUCGGCCGCCAGAAGACAUAAGCGCAUGGCAGCGUUUCAGGCUUCUUGCCUUUUAAAUCGAAUCUGGAUGGCAGCAUUUUGGAUAUGAAACGGCGAACUGCAAGCACUGACUGAUUGUUUUGUAUCCUUUCUUCAGUCAUAGGGGGCUGAUCUGAAAAAAGAUACACAACCACAGACGACAGUCAAGAAAGCUAAAAAAUUUAAAACUCUGCGCAUGGAUCCAAUUCUUCAGCUGGAUUCCCACAUACCUGCCCAAAAACAGGGGGUUGAUCUGAAAAAAAAUAAAUAAAUAAAGAUGACUCUUUGUGGACACUGGUGAAACGGAUGAAAAAGAUACACAACCACAGAUGACAGUCAAGAAAGGUAAAAACUUUAAACCUCUGCUCAUGGAUCCAAUUCUUCAGCUGGAUUCCCACAUACCUGCCCAAAAACGUUCCAGGCACCUGAUCUAGAUGUUCAGCAUAGAUAUGAACUUGCCAGCUCUCUUCACAGUCUAAAGCCAGAGGGCAGCAUCCUAAAAGACAGAUUUAAGAGUUUACAGAAGACAAACACUGAGGCCAGAGAAAGAGCCAAGUUUAAGAGGAAAUAUAAGCUGAAGUACUCAGAAAAGAGGGCCUUCAGGGAGAUACAGUGACCGCACAAGUUGUUUUCUUUCAGUCCUCCAACAAAUUAUGGGGUGCUAUUCAUGUUGCAAUAAAAAAAAGUUUAUAUUACAACAAC